This is a transfer RNA of Ipomoea nil (Japanese morning glory), 72 nucleotides long. It matches the Rfam family "tRNA". Rfam says of the family: Transfer RNA (tRNA) molecules are approximately 80 nucleotides in length. Their secondary structure includes four short double-helical elements and three loops (D, anti-codon, and T loops). Further hydrogen bonds mediate the characteristic L-shaped molecular structure. tRNAs have two regions of fundamental functional importance: the anti-codon, which is responsible for specific mRNA codon recognition, and the 3' end, to which the tRNAs corresponding amino acid is attached (by aminoacyl-tRNA synthetases). tRNAs cope with the degeneracy of the genetic code in two manners: having more than one tRNA (with a specific anti-codon) for a particular amino acid; and 'wobble' base-pairing, i.e. permitting non-standard base-pairing at the 3rd anti-codon position. Lineage: Eukaryota; Viridiplantae; Streptophyta; Magnoliopsida; Solanales; Convolvulaceae. The record is from Rfam.
GCAUUUGUAGACCAACGGUUAGGAUAAUUGCCUUCCAAGCAAUAAACCUUGGUUCGACUCCCGGCAAACGCA